This 495-nucleotide ribosomal RNA is filed under the name uncultured bacterium. RNAcentral describes it as "partial 16S ribosomal RNA". It matches the Rfam family "Bacterial small subunit ribosomal RNA", at positions 28 to 507 of the family's 1533-position model. The record is from RNAcentral.
GAUGAACGCUGGCGGCGUGCCUAAUACAUGCAAGUAGAACGCUGAAGGAGGAGCUUGCUUCUCUGGAUGAGUUGCGAACGGGUGAGUAACGCGUAGGUAACCUGCCUGGUAGCGGGGGAUAACUAUUGGAAACGAUAGCUAAUACCGCAUAAGAGUAGAUGUUGCAUGACAUUUGCUUAAAAGGUGCAAUUGCAUCACUACCAGAUGGACCUGCGUUGUAUUAGCUAGUUGGUGAGGUAACGGCUCACCAAGGCAACGAUACAUAGCCGACCUGAGAGGGUGAUCGGCCACACUGGGACUGAGACACGGCCCAGACUCCUACGGGAGGCAGCAGUAGGGAAUCUUCGGCAAUAGACGGAAGUCUGACCGAGCAACGCCGCGUGAGUGAAGAAGGUUUUCGGAUCGUAAAGCUCUGUUGUAAGAGAAGAACGAGUGUGAGAGUGGAAAGUUCACACUGUGACGGUAUCUUACCAGAAAGGGACGGCUAACUACGUG